GGUUAAGCGACUAAGCGUACACGGUGGAUGCCCUGGCAGUCAGAGGCGAUGAAGGACGUGCUAAUCUGCGAUAAGCGUCGGUGAGGUGAUAUGAACCGUUAUAACCGGCGAUUUCCGAAUGGGGAAACCCAGUGUGUUUCGACACACUAUCAUUAACUGAAUCCAUAGGUUAAUGAGGCGAACCGGGGGAACUGAAACAUCUAAGUACCCCGAGGAAAAGAAAUCAACCGAGAUUCCCCCAGUAGCGGCGAGCGAACGGGGAGGAGCCCAGAGCCUGAAUCAGUGUGUGUGUUAGUGGAAGCGUCUGGAAAGGCGCGCGAUACAGGGUGACAGCCCCGUACACAAAAAUGCACAUAUUGUGAGCUCGAUGAGUAGG
This 376-nucleotide ribosomal RNA is filed under the name Escherichia coli. RNAcentral describes it as "partial 23S ribosomal RNA". It matches the Rfam family "Bacterial large subunit ribosomal RNA", at positions 1 to 416 of the family's 2925-position model. The record is from RNAcentral. Lineage: Bacteria; Pseudomonadati; Pseudomonadota; Gammaproteobacteria; Enterobacterales; Enterobacteriaceae.